CCUACGGGCGGCAGCAGUGAGGAAUAUUGGUCAAUGGACGAGAGUCUGAACCAGCCAAGUAGCGUGAAGGAUGACUGCCCUAUGGGUUGUAAACUUCUUUUAUAAAGGAAUAAAACGAGGCACGUGUGCCUUUUUGCAUGUACUUUAUGAAUAAGGAUCGGCUAACUCCGUGCCAGCAGCCGCGGUAAUACGGAGGAUCCGAGCGUUAUCCGGAUUUAUUGGGUUUAAAGGGAGCGUAGAUGGGUUGUUAAGUCAGUUGUGAAAGUUUGCGGCUCAACCAUAAAAUUGCAAUUGAUACUGGCAGUCUUGAGGACAGUUGAGGUAGGCGGAAUGUGUGGUGUAGCGGUGAAAUGCUUAGAGAUCACGAAGAACCCCGAUUGCGAAGGCAGCUUACUAAACUGUGACUGACAUUGAUGCUCGAAAGUGUGGGGAUCAAACAGGAUUAGAUACCCGUGUAGUC
This 460-nucleotide ribosomal RNA is filed under the name uncultured bacterium. RNAcentral describes it as "partial 16S ribosomal RNA". It matches the Rfam family "Bacterial small subunit ribosomal RNA", at positions 338 to 795 of the family's 1533-position model. The record is from RNAcentral.